CAGGAGAAGAGAUAAAAGCCCGCCCACACUGACAAUUGAUUGGUUGAUUUACCGAAAUCAGGCCAAUCAGGAUGCUCUCUGACUUACACGCGCUUAAUGACGCACAUACACACACACACAAACACACACACACACACACACACACACACACACACACACACACACGCAAGGUCUCCCCCUCCCCCUCUGCCAAGGUUUGGAGCACAGUCUCUGUCGCUCGCUCUAGAUUCCGGGAGAUUUUAACUAUUUUGCGGGAAUCAGGGAGCCGCUAUGAAUAUGCGGGAGACUCCCGGAACUUCCGGGACACUUGAUGCCUAAAGUGUAUGUUCCAGAGUCUUUCCUCUCUGCACUGAGAACAAUCCUCUCUCUGUACUUGAUGGAGAUCUUGGACCUGAGUAAUGAAUGACUACAAAAGCAAGAUGAAGCUUCUUUUACAGAACUAAUAAUACUUUACUGAGAAACAGGAAGUUCCAUACACCAUCUACAUCCCUUGACUUGAAAAUGUUAAAGCAGCCCUGUGGUUUGUUCGUCUUGUCUGAAGAAAUAUUUUACUCACUCAUACUUACAUGGUCAUACAGGGUCUAUAAACCUCUCAUAACAGCCUGGUCCUUUUUAGGUCUCAUCAUUGUUGUGUUUCCCAUUUCCCCCCAUGAUCACGCUCACCUGUGUUGGAUUAUCACUUUAGUGCCACAUCAUUUAAGUUCUCAUUUUCUCAUUGUGUCUUGGUCUUGUUACUGUUGGUGCUAAAGUGUGUCUCAUCCUUGUCUUCAUGGUUGUAUCUUUUCCUUCCUAGUGCUUUUGUUUAGAGUUGUCCUGCUUUACAUAUUUAUUUCUUUUUGCACAUUAUAAUAAAUAGAAUCUGCACUUACAUCUGCCUUUGUUUGUAAGUAUUACCCAUCCAUUUAAUCCUGAUAUCCUGAGUUUAACAUUUUCCAUGUUUAUUUCAGAUAAAUGUAAAAAUGAUUAAAAA
This is a long non-coding RNA of Tachysurus fulvidraco (yellow catfish), 970 nucleotides long. RefSeq lists it as uncharacterized. The record is from RefSeq and is a predicted model, not a curated record. The transcript has 3 exons. Lineage: Eukaryota; Metazoa; Chordata; Actinopteri; Siluriformes; Bagridae.